AGUGAAUAUAGGGUAGAAUUAUAUUGUGUUGAUGACCCGAACUACACAACACGUGUACAAUUUGCAAACACACAUUUGUAUAAACUGAAUAGACUCAUGUUCGGCAAAUUAAAUAUUAUCAAAACCAAAAUCUAUAUUUCCAUACCCCCAAGGCAGCCACCAACAAAAUCCACAACAUUUUCGUUCAUUUCCAAGUGUUUCAGCCAAAAAAAUUGGCAAAACUAGAGGUCCAAAGGUUACCAGACAUCACCAGUACAUUUACUCUCGAUCGAAAAU
Paramuricea clavata is the source of this 276-nucleotide non-coding RNA. NCBI's taxonomy places the organism in Eukaryota, Metazoa, Cnidaria, Anthozoa, Malacalcyonacea, Plexauridae. The record is from the annotation of a GenBank genome assembly.